AUUGAACGCUGGCAGCAUGCCUUACACAUGCAAGUCGAACGGCAGCACGGGUGCUUGCCCCUGGUGGCGAGUGGCGAACGGGUGAGUAAUACAUCGGAACAUGUCCUGUAGUGGGGGAUAGCCCGGCGAAAGCCGGAUUAAUACCGCAUACGAUCUACGGAUGAAAGCGGGGGACCUUCGGGCCUCGCGCUAUAGGGUUGGCCGAUGGCUGAUUAGCUAGUUGGUGGGGUAAAGGCCUACCAAGGCGACGAUCAGUAGCUGGUCUGAGAGGACGACCAGCCACACUGGGACUGAGACACGGCCCAGACUCCUACGGGAGGCAGCAGUGGGGAAUUUUGGACAAUGGGCGAAAGCCUGAUCCAGCAAUGCCGCGUGUGUGAAGAAGGCCUUCGGGUUGUAAAGCACUUUUGUCCGGAAAGAAAUCCUUGGCCCUAAUACGGUCGGGGGAUGACGGUACCGGAAGAAUAAGCACCGGCUAACUACGUG
RNAcentral lists this ribosomal RNA (486 nucleotides) under uncultured bacterium. Its description in RNAcentral is "partial 16S ribosomal RNA". It matches the Rfam family "Bacterial small subunit ribosomal RNA", at positions 30 to 507 of the family's 1533-position model. The record is from RNAcentral.